RNAcentral lists this long non-coding RNA (5906 nucleotides) under Triticum aestivum (bread wheat). Its description in RNAcentral is "long non-coding RNA (TAES_LNC017183)". Lineage: Eukaryota; Viridiplantae; Streptophyta; Magnoliopsida; Poales; Poaceae. The record is from RNAcentral.
UCCAGUAAUACAUGUAUCCAGCCAUACAUGAGUGCAAAGUCCACAUUUGCAUACGUAUGCAACAAAAGAUCACAAACGAAAGGACCGUAAGUUUCAGGUCCACACAGUGCAUACAUAUCCAACGAAGGUUCACAACAACAUACAUACAUAUGCAACCAGAGGUUCACAAAUUAAAGGAUCAUGAGUUCCAAGUUCCCACCAAGCAUGAACCAUGCAAUGAGCUCCACCGCAGCAUAUAUGCACACCGUCAACGCCAUCCACAAUGCAAACCUAUAAGUCCAUUAUCACACGCAUGAGUUUCUAAAGUUAAGUUGCAAAGAUGGAUAAGGCAAAAGAGUCAACAAGCAUCAACAUAUGAGGCUCAAAUAGAAGCUAAGAAGUAUGUACAAUAUAAGCAUCAACGCUUGUGGACUCUACCAUCAACAAUGCACAAGUUUUAAGUUGAGAAGCACAAGCAACAAGAAGACGCAAGCAUCAACAAUGGACAAACAUGGAGUACUACCUCAAGUGAUCAUUGUUGCGGGGAGGUCGAAGCGACAUGAACUGUAGUGGGUGUCACUGGACUUGCUUGGCCAGGUGAAGAUCCACCUACCACACAGUUAUUGGAGCCUUGUCCCGACUGAGAAAACUUGAAGCACGAGAGGAUACGAUGGUAAGAUUCAUGAUCUUCAAGUAUGAAGGUAAGAUGCACGAUUGAAAAGUUCAAAGACUUACAAAGUUGAAAUUAGGAAGAGUCGGAAGAGGAGGAAGAACGGGCAAAGUGGAACCCUGCAUAUUAUUUAUGAGUUGAGCAAAUGUCUCCUGCAGAAUUGCCUGUUGUUUAACCAUGAAUUCUUGUUGUUGAAACAGGGCCUGCUGCAUUUUCAUGGCUUCCUCCUCUCGAAGCCUGGCAUUGGCCUACAAUAUGCCAUCACAACAAGUUCACCAUCGUUGCAAUACAAAGAAGAAAUCACAAGGAAGGUCGAUGAAGCAAAAUAUACCUCGAGUUGAUGGAGCAUGUGCAGCCCAGGCUGUGGGAGAUGCUCUAUAGCAGGACCUGAGCUCGACAUGGUAGCACGGAGGUGAGAGAGUUUUGGGAUGUCCUUCUUACGGAUGGCACCAUCGCCAACAUAUAACCGACCACCCUUCUUGCCAUCUCCCGACUAGAGGGAAAUUGUAGCGUCAAUGUCCUGUGAGGCCGGAUCAGAGUCUGGCCCGUUGUGCUCCUUGAACUUCCCACUGUAUGCAUCAAUCCUCAAGCCAGUGCCUGGGUUGACCCACCCCCCUUCCGGUUUCUUUGACUUGCGGGAGAGGCAUAAUCCCGUGAAGGUAUUGAUCUUCUCUUGGCCCUCACCUCUCUCCCUAUUCUGCAAUAGAAGCAAUAAUAUCCAGAAGAGCACAAGUUUAGAAGUUGAGAAGCCGAAUGAUAUUAUUACCUUCUUCUGCACGUAAGCAUGGAGGUUGAGGUUGCCUUGAAGGUGUAACGGACCACCCAUCAAGGAACGCCGCUCCGAAGCCAUUCGAUGUUUGGCCCUCCACUCCGGGUCUAUACAUUUGGAUAUGAUUUGCUGAUAGCAAGGAACAUUGUUGUUGCACCACGAGGGAACCGCCUGAAGUAUGCCAAAUACAUCCAACUUAGGAAUGAAAGUAAGUUGUUUUGAUCCAGGCAAUCAUAGGUAAAAGGAAACUACCUUCAUGUACAUGGAACGGGUGAGAUGCACUCUCCGGGCUAGAGACUUUUUGAGAAGCAUUUUGCGUUCGUGCGCGAAAUACUUCACCACAGCAUCAAUGCGCGCCGCAUAGGGCAUGUCUUGGACAAUCUUCUUGGCAAUCGCCUCCACAACCUCAUUAGCUUCAUCCUUCAUACCCUCGGCGCAAGUAAAGAAAUCCUGCCAAAGAUCAUAAGAGGAUAAAACAGUUAUUAGUGCAAUGAUUUUAAAGAUUGGCAAAGAAAUAACUAUGAAAGUUGACAACAAAUUUUACCCAAACAGCAUUGACCACCCGCUCGGCGGCACUACCAUACACCCUGCCCCACUUGUCUUUGGUAUCCGGAGCUCGUUUCCAAUGCUCCCAAGACCAAGCUGGCUCCUCCUCACCGUCUCCUAUGGGGACCAGGCCAGGGUAAUAAUGCCUGCAAAGACAUCCAAUGAUGCUACUUGGCUGGCGCGGCACUUUUAUGUCUUCUCCAUCAACCACCAAGGCCCUGCACAAUGAAAAGGCAAGUAAGAUAGUAUCUGCAAAAAUCUUAAAAGUAAAGACGCAAGAGUCCACACAAACACUUACCUCAGACCGGCUGGUUUGACAAUGAGGCCCUUAUGUGGAUAUGGUCUCGAAGGGAGCGUGAACACCCCACGCAACCAGAUUUUGCUCUCCUUAGGAACUGGCCAUUCCAUCUUCUCCGCCGAUGUCUCCACCUCAUACUCUCCCUCCUCUAACUCCUCCACAACCGGCUCCUCCUCCCUCUCCUCCUCUGACUCCUCCCUCUCCUCCGACUCCUCCCUCUCAUCCUCCUCCACAACUAGCUCCUCCUCCCUCUCCUCCUCUGCUUCCUCCUCCAAUUCCUCCUCAGAAUGGACGGAGGGGAUAGGGCUAGCAACACGGGAUACAGUGGUACGACCACGUCGUCUACCUCGGGUACCAUCCACCGUGGCUCGCUGUGUAGGUUUGGCCCUGCCUGCCUGUAUGGAAGUUGCCGCACCGGUGCCCUUCUUUAUGACCCUCCUCACCUUGCCUAACCUUUCAAUCACAUUGCCAAUGCUUGCAACUUUGUUCCCUUUGUUCCUUUUGUUGCCUGGCAUCUUUCAGUCACCUGCUAUGAGAAAGAGUAGUUCAAUUAGUUCAUGUUGAAAACUUCAUAUGCAAAACUUGCCCCCCAAGCAAGGUGGGGCGCCCCCUCCCCAAACCCUAGGCGCCUUGGGCCCUUGUGGGGGGGCGCACCAGCCCAAGAGGGGCUGGUCCCCUCCUACACUUGGCCCAUGCUGCCCUCCGGGGAUGGUGGACCCCCGGGACCCUCCCGGUGGUCCCGGUACGUUACCGAUAAAACCCGAAGCUUUUCCGGUGACCAAAAUAGGACUUCCCAUAUAUGAAUCUUUACCUCUGGACCAUUCCGGAACUCCUCGUGACGUCCGGGAUCUCAUUCGGGACUCCGAACAACAUUCGGUAACCACAUACAAACUUCCGUUAUAACCCUAGCAUCAUCGAACCUUAAGUGUGUAGACCCUACGGGUUCGGGAACCAUGUAGACAUGACCGAGACGUUCUCCGGUCAAUAACCAACAGCGGGAUCUGGAUACCCAUGUUGGCUCCCACAUGUUCCACGAUGAUCUCAUCGGAUGAACCACGAUGUCAAGGCCUCAAUCGAUCCCGUAUACAGUUCCCUUUGUCUAGCGGUAUUGUACUUACCCGAGAUUCGAUCGUCGGUAUCCCGAUACCUUGUUCAAUCUCGUUACCGGCAAGUCUCUUUACUCGUUCCGUAACACAUCAUCCCGUGAUCAACCCCUUGGCACAUUGUGCACAUUAUGAUGAUGUCCUACCGAGUGGGCCCAGAGAUACCUCUUCGUUUACAUGGAGUGACAAAUCCCAGUCUCGAUUCGUGCCAACCCAACAGACACUUUCGGAGAUACCUGUAGUGCACCUUUAUAGCCACCCAGUUAUGUUGUGAUGUUUGGUACACCCAAAGCAUUCAUACGGUAUCUGGGAGUUGCACAAUCUCAUGGUCUAAGGAAAUGAUACUUGACAUUAGAAAAGCUUUAGCAUACGAACUACGAUCUUUGUGCUAGGCUUAGGAUUGGGUCUUGUCCAUCACAUCAUUUUCCUAAUGAUGUGAUCCCGUUAUCAACGACAUCCAAUGUCCAUGGUCAGGAAACCGUAACCAUCUAUUGAUCAACGAGCUAGUCAAUUAGAGGCUUACUAGGGACAUGGUGUUGUCUAUGUAUCCACACAUGUAUCUGAGUUUCCUAUCAAUACAAUUAUAGCAUGGAUAAUAAACGAUUACCAUGAACAAGGAAAUAUAAUAAUAACUUAUUUAUUAUUGCCUCUAGGGCAUAUUUCCAACAAAAGUACUAGUGAUAAGGCCAUAUAUGAGGGUAAUAAAAUAGUACUACUGAUUACCACUCCACCAAGAUGGUACACAAAGGCAAAACAUAGAGCCGCCGGGAUGCCCACGAGGUAGUACACACUGAGAUUAACAUAGGAACCAAUCUUUUGAAAGCCACAGCCCCUAACAAUACCUGUAAAAUGUGCUAAUUGAUAACCUUAUAUUUCCAGCAUGUACGAAACACUACAAGGAAAAACUUAUAAGCCGUGUACCUAAUACACCCGGCUUACAUUGAUUUAAACUCGGUUUAUAUAUAAGCCGAGUAAAACUCCCGGCUUAUAGCACUCGGUUUACAGUCGACCGGCUUAUAACUUAUAAGCCGAGAGCCGGACCAAAAAAGCCCGGCUUAUGUAUAAACCGGGUAUUUUCACAAGGCUCCCGGUUUAAUAAAGUAACCUGACGGUAGCCUGAUGUUAACAGCCACGUGUCACCGUCUAUAUAACUCGAGUGCCGUCGUCAGGGCACGGUUUAAACAUAAACCGAGUGCACCUCAGUACGUACGGUUUAUAUAUGAGCCGGGUGCAACAGCGGACGCACGGUUUAUAUAUAAGCCGGAUGCGACCGCGAACACACGGUUUAUAUAUAAGCCGGGUGAAACCGCGAACCGCACGGUUACAAUAUAAGCCGAGUUCCACCGACAAAAGCACGGUUUUUAUAUACAUAUAUAAGCCGGGUGCCGGUUAACUGAGGUACACGGCUUAUAUAGCCUGCUCAUGUGUCCAGAUGGUCUAUAAGCCGGGUGCCAGGUGCUGGGCUGCACGGCUUAUAGGUUAUAAGCCGGGUGCCAGAUGCUGGGCUGCACGGCUUAUAUGUUGGCCGCCGCCAUAUGGCUUAUAAGCCGGGUGCCAGAUAGCUGGGGUACACGGCUUAUAGGCCAUAUAGCAUGUAUACAGGCACUUCAGGGAGCAGCAACAACAUAUAUACAAUAGUACAUCUAUCCAGCAGCACAUAUAUCCAACAAAUAUAUGUAUCCAGCAGCACAUAUAUCCAACAAAUAUAUGUAUCCAGCAGCACAUAUAUAAAACAAAUAUAUGUAUCCAGCAGUACAUGACCAUGACCAACAAACAUAUAUCCAGUAAUACAUGUAUCCAGCCAUACAUGAGUGCAAAGUCCACAUAUGCAUACGUAUGCAACAAAAGAUCACAAACGAAAGGACCGUAAGUUUCAGGUCCACACAGUGUAUACAUAUCCAACGAAGGUUCACAACAACAUACAUACAUAUGCAACCAGAGGUUCACAAAUUAAAGGAUCAUGAGUUCCAAGUUCCCACCAAGCAUGAACCAUGCAAUGAGCUCCACCGCAGCAUAUAUGCACACCGUCAACGCCAUCCACAAUGCAAACCUAUAAGUCCAUUAUCACACGCAUGAGUUUCUAAAGUUAAGUUGCAAAGAUGGAUAAGGCAAAAGAGUCAACAAGCAUCAACAUAUGAGGCUCAAAUAGAAGCUAAGAAGUAUGUACAAUAUAAGCAUCAACGCUUGUGGACUCUACCAUCAACAAUGCACAAGUUUUAAGUUGAGAAGCACAAGCAACGAGAAGACGCAAGCAUCAACAAUAGACAAACAUGGAGGACUACCUCAAGUGAUCAUUGUUGCGGGGAGGUCGAAGCGACAUGAACCGUAGUGGGUGUCACUGGACUUGCUUGGCCAGGUGAAGAUCCACCUACCACAUAGUUAUUGGAGCCUUGUCCCGACUGAGAAAACUUGAAGCACGAGAGGAUGAGAUGGUAAGAUUCAUGAUCUUCAAGUAUGAAGGUAAGAUGCACGAUUGAAAAGUUCAAAGACUUACAAAGUUGAAAUUAGGAAGAGUCGGAAGAGGAGGAAGAACGGGCAAAG